This 20-nucleotide microRNA is filed under the name Corchorus olitorius. RNAcentral's name for it is "mmu-miR-66". Lineage: Eukaryota; Viridiplantae; Streptophyta; Magnoliopsida; Malvales; Malvaceae. The record is from RNAcentral.
AUCUGUGUGUGUAUGUGUGU